AUUGAACGCUGGCGGCAUGCUUUACACAUGCAAGUCGGACGGCAGCGCGGGCUUCGGCCUGGCGGCGAGUGGCGCACGGGUGAGUAAUACAUCGGAACGUGCCCAGUAGUGGGGGAUAGCUCGGCGAAAGCCGGAUUAAUACCGCAUACGACCUGAGGGUGAAAGCGGGGGACUUUAGGGACUCGCGCUAUUGGAGCGGCCGAGGGCAGACUAGCUAGUUGGUGGGGUAAAGGCCUACCAAGGCGACGAUCUGUAGCUGGUCUGAGAGGACGACCAGCCACACUGGGACUGAGACACGGCCCAUACUCCUACGGGAGGCAGCAGUGGGGAAUUUUGGACAAUGGGCGCAAGCCUGAUCCAGCAAUGCCGCGUGUGUGAUGAAGGCCUUCGGGUUGUAAAGCACUUUUGGCAGGAACGAAAAGUGCCGUGCUAAUACCACGGUACGAUGACGGUACCUGCAGAAUAAGCACCGGCUAACUACGUG
This 484-nucleotide ribosomal RNA is filed under the name uncultured bacterium. RNAcentral describes it as "partial 16S ribosomal RNA". It matches the Rfam family "Bacterial small subunit ribosomal RNA", at positions 29 to 507 of the family's 1533-position model. The record is from RNAcentral.